Molecule: long non-coding RNA, 202 nt
Filed under: Lathyrus oleraceus (garden pea)
Lineage: Eukaryota; Viridiplantae; Streptophyta; Magnoliopsida; Fabales; Fabaceae
Description: Pisum sativum (pea) long non-coding RNA (PSAT_LNC009058)
Source: RNAcentral
UUCAGAAUCUUGGGUUAAUUAGCAAUAUUCCCCAGUAGUGCGAUAUUGGAGGAAGCUUUUCCGUCGGACAGAGAUGGAAAUAACAUCAAAGGACGUUACGCGAUCAGCGCGAUUCAAGCCGUGGUUACCGCUUGAGAUUUGGUUUUGUCUGACAGCGAAGACGAUGCUCCGAGGAGUUCAGCAUUGUGAGUUUGGAACCACC